CCGCGGUAAUACGUAGGUGGCAACGUUGUCCGGAUUACUGGGUGUAAAGGGCGUGUAGGCGGGUGCUAAGUCAGUGGUGAAAUCCGGGGCUCAACCCCGGGGCUGCCAUUGAAACUGGGUAUCUUGAGUGCAGGAGAGGAAAGGGAAUUCCUAGUGUAGCGGUGAAAUGCGUAGAUAUUAGGAGGAACACCGGUGGCGAAGGCGCUUUCUGGACUGUAACUGACGCUGAGGCGCGAAAGCGUGGGGAGCAAACAGGAUUAGAUCCCUGGUAGUCCACGCUGUAAACGAUGGAUACUAGGUGUCGGGGGUAUCGAGUCCCCCGGGCCGGAGUUAACACAAUAAGUAUCCCACCUGGGGAGUACGACCGCAAGGUUGAAACUCAAGGAAUUGACGGGGGCCCGCACAAGCAGUGGAGUAUGUGGUUUAAUUCGAAGCAACGCGAAAACCUUACCAGGACUUGACAUCCCUUGCAUAACCCUUAACCGGGAAAAUCCUUCGGGACAGGUGACAGGUGGUGCAUGGUUGUCGUCAGCUCGUGUCGUGAGAUGUUGGGUUAAGUCCCGAACGAGCGCAACCCUUGUUGUUAGUUGCCAUCAUUUAGUUGGGCACUCUAACGAGACUGCGUUGAUAAAACGGAGGAAGGUGGGGACGACGUCAAAUCAUCAUGCCCCUUAUGUUCUGGGUACACACGUACUACAAUGGCUGCAACAGAGGGAAGCAAAGCGGUAACGCAGAGCAAACCCUAAAUGCAGUCUCAGUUCGGAUUGUGGGCUGAAACCCGCCCACAUGAAGUUGGAAUUGCUGUAAUCGCGGAUCAGCAUGCCGCGGUGAAUACGUUCCCGGGCCUUGUACACACCGCCCGU
RNAcentral lists this ribosomal RNA (863 nucleotides) under uncultured Clostridium sp. RNAcentral describes it as "bacterial SSU rRNA". It matches the Rfam family "Bacterial small subunit ribosomal RNA", at positions 515 to 1397 of the family's 1533-position model. The record is from RNAcentral. Lineage: Bacteria; Bacillati; Bacillota; Clostridia; Eubacteriales; Clostridiaceae.